AUGGCGACCGGCGCACGGGUGAGUAACACGUAUCCAACCUGCCGAUAACUCGGGGAUAGCCUUUCGAAAGAAAGAUUAAUACCCGAUGGUAUAAUCAGACCGCAUGGUCUUGUUAUUAAAGAAUUUCGGUUAUCGAUGGGGAUGCGUUCCAUUAGGCAGUUGGUGAGGUAACGGCUCACCAAACCUUCGAUGGAUAGGGGUUCUGAGAGGAAGAUCCCCCACAUUGGAACUGAGACACGGUCCAA
This 245-nucleotide ribosomal RNA is filed under the name uncultured bacterium. RNAcentral's name for it is "partial 16S ribosomal RNA". It matches the Rfam family "Bacterial small subunit ribosomal RNA", at positions 88 to 334 of the family's 1533-position model. The record is from RNAcentral.